This 483-nucleotide ribosomal RNA is filed under the name uncultured bacterium. Its description in RNAcentral is "partial 16S ribosomal RNA". It matches the Rfam family "Bacterial small subunit ribosomal RNA", at positions 30 to 507 of the family's 1533-position model. The record is from RNAcentral.
UUGAACGCUGGCGGCAGGCCUCACACCUGCCGGUCGAGCGGAUGAAGGGAGCUUGCUCCUGGAUUCAGCGGCGGACGGGUGAGUAAUGCCUAGGAAUCUGCCUGGUAGUGGGGGAUAACGUCCGGAAAUGGGCGCUAAUACCGCAUACGUCCUGAGGGAGAAAGUGGGGGAUCUUCGGACCUCACGCUAUCAGAUGAGCCUAGGUCGGAUUAGCUAGUUGGUGGGGUAAAGGCCUACCAAGGCGACGAUCCGUAACUGGUCUGAGAGGAUGAUCAGUCACACUGGAACUGAGACACGGUCCAGACUCCUACGGGAGGCAGCAGUGGGGAAUAUUGGACAAUGGGCGAAAGCCUGAUCCAGCCAUGCCGCGUGUGUGAAGAAGGUCUUCGGAUUGUAAAGCACUUUAAGUUGGGAGGAAGGGCAGUAAGUUAAUACCUUGCUGUUUUGACGUUACCAACAGAAUAAGCACCGGCUAACUUCGUG